Molecule: long non-coding RNA, 489 nt
Filed under: Nicotiana benthamiana
Lineage: Eukaryota; Viridiplantae; Streptophyta; Magnoliopsida; Solanales; Solanaceae
Description: long non-coding RNA (NBEN_LNC014348)
Source: RNAcentral
CGCCUCUCUCCCCUAGUUCCUCAUACAUGCGACCGAACGCCGCGUUUUUAGCUUCCGUGACUGCCAUCUUCGCUUCUUUUCUCGCCUCCUUGUAGAUCACCCUGUUCGCUCUCCGUUCCUCCUCGCUUGUGCUCCUUGCCAACCUAGCAAACGCCGCCUUCUUCACCUCCACUUUUCCUUUGACUACCUCGUUCCACCACCAAUCACCCUGAUUUCUGCCUGAAUAUCCCUUAGCUACCCCGAGCACAUCCCAUGCUACCCCCUAACCAAGUUUGCCGUCACUGUCCACAUAGCGUCCGCUUCCCCAUAACUUCUCCAAGCUCCGCCCUCCACUGACCUCCUUUCCAACUCAUGUGCUUUCUCCUUAGACAAAGCUCCCCAUCUAAUUCGCGGUUGACCCCGGGCGCCCCUCCUCUUCUUCUUCACCCAGAGAUCGACAUCCAUCACUAGUAGUCUAUGGAGAGUUGAAAGAGACUCUCCCGGAAUAAA